Molecule: RNA transcript, 1971 nt
Organism: Sorghum bicolor (sorghum)
Lineage: Eukaryota; Viridiplantae; Streptophyta; Magnoliopsida; Poales; Poaceae
Exons: 2
Source: RefSeq, a predicted model, not a curated record
UCCUACUUUCCCAUCCCCAUCGUUCUCUCGCAGUCACCUGAGGGCCGACUCCCUUCGUAGUCUUUCUCUCUGUCUCUCUCGAUCUCCCUCACAGCGCCGUCCUCCCUACUCCUCCGCCCAGAAGCCUCCGCAUCCGGCGGCCACCCCUUCCUGCUCCUCCUCCAUAGGCCACCACCUUCACAUCUGGCGCCCUCCCCGCCGGAUGUUGCCCCUUGGCGCUCCUCCCCUUCUCUCUGGCGCCCCCCUCUCUCAGCCCGGUGUCCAGAUCUACUGGUCCGAGCACAAUCGCAUCAGGAAGUGGCAGCUCCGAGCACAGUUUAAUUUGAGUGUCCGAGAUGAGCCCGUAUUCCGGCCGCCAAAGUCUUGGUCAGGCCCUCUGCAGGCGACGAGCAGCCACAACAACGGCCACGUAUGCUUGUUUCUUCUCUUCCCUUCCUUUUGUGCAAAAUUGAGGAUCCCUAAUUUAGGCUAUUUGGUUAUACAUAUUCGAAACUGAUCUGAUAUAAUCCCAAGUGUAUGCAUGUAUGCUGCAGGAUGUGGGUUUAAUUUCUUUAAUAUGACUAUUACUGUUUUUACCAGAGCAAUACAUGUUGAAAAAUUUGUACUAUCAUACUUUCAGUAUCUAUAGAGACCUUUCUUAUAGGUGAAAUUAAUUAGGCAUGUGUAUCUACUGUCAGAUAAAAUAUGUUGCUACGCAGGUUUCAGUAUCUGUAGAGAUCUUUUGUAACACUGAAGUUACUAAUGUAUGCCUUAUUAAGUAUUAUCAUGGCAGAUGAUUGACCUUAAAUUAAAACCCACUUGCUUUACCUUGCAGAUGUGUGACCUUAAAUUUAGUAGUAUUCAGAACUUAGUAACCCACUUGUCGAAUGCAGAAAUAUGGUUGAAAUGGUUUGCCACUUGUUGAACUUAGUAACCCACUUAGGGCCUGUUUGGUUAUCAGGGAUUGGACACUGGGAACAAUUCCAACUUGAAAUGUUGUGCUAAUUUGUACUAACUUUGCUCACAGGAAAUGAUUCUGGGAGGAAUUAUGCCUAAGCGAAUGAUAUUAACCCUUUGGGCAGUAAUUGUUUACAGAUUUUAAAAUACAUCUCUGAGAGGAGUAGGAAAGAGCAAUGAUGGCAGGAAGAGGGUAGAUAUCCACAGGAUGCGGCAGUACAGGUUGCAGCUCGAAUAGAAACUUGGUGAUAUCUUGGUCAUAUUACUUUACAUGAGCGACACUGAACCAUCAUAUCCACUAUUUAAAUAUGAAAAUUAUUUGCAAAGUACUAGUUAUGCAAAGCCCACUUUGGCAUGGAGGAGAAAAUGUUUCUAGAUGUUUUAGGCAAUUGAAUUCCCCUACUACAGAGUGCUAGAGCACUGAACAAUAGGUACUGAAUAUUAAUUAUUAUUCAAAGUAAAAUAUAUGGAUGCAAUGUGCUGAAAUAGAUGUCCUGCACUGAUAAAGAUUUAGUGGUGAUUCACUAAAUGCUGUUAUGGAAGUAUUAAAUAUAAAUGACUUGUUGUGCAGCGUGCAUUUGUACAUAUAUUUGGAAAUAGAUUGCAAGAUUGUCGUUGUGCUUCAUGAUUUCUAAUUCUUGCUAUUGAUUCUGUUUUUCUUAAACCUCAAUCAUUCAGAUAUGCAAGCAAGUGGCAGCACUGUUUUCAAACUUUAAGGUAUGAACAAAUUCAAGUGGACUAUGUGGCAGCAUUGCUCUUAGGCUCUAAAGGCAUGCACUGCUCAGUUUUGGAUGUUUUAUGAGGCUAUCUAUGGAUUGCGGCAAAAGGAUCAAGGCGCUCAUGGUGGCUAUUUUCAUUAGUCGUGAAAGAUUUUGUUGUGCGAGCAAAACAUCUGGGUUGUUGUUGUACAAGCCAACGUCUUAGUUUUCUAGAUACUUGAGUGUAGCUUGGUUAUUGCCUUAGUAUUUCGUGUGAAAUAUUGUACAAGUACAAAUGUUGAUGGUUUUAAUGAAAAUGAUGAGCAAUAUUUGUCAA